Molecule: ribosomal RNA, 407 nt
Filed under: Escherichia coli
Lineage: Bacteria; Pseudomonadati; Pseudomonadota; Gammaproteobacteria; Enterobacterales; Enterobacteriaceae
Description: partial 23S ribosomal RNA
Rfam family: Bacterial large subunit ribosomal RNA
Source: RNAcentral
GUAUAAUGGGUCAGCGACUUAUAUUCUGUAGCAAGGUUAACCGAAUAGGGGAGCCGAAGGGAAACCGAGUCUUAACUGGGCGUUAAGUUGCAGGGUAUAGACCCGAAACCCGGUGAUCUAGCCAUGGGCAGGUUGAAGGUUGGGUAACACUAACUGGAGGACCGAACCGACUAAUGUUGAAAAAUUAGCGGAUGACUUGUGGCUGGGGGUGAAAGGCCAAUCAAACCGGGAGAUAGCUGGUUCUCCCCGAAAGCUAUUUAGGUAGCGCCUCGUGAAUUCAUCUCCGGGGGUAGAGCACUGUUUCGGCAAGGGGGUCAUCCCGACUUACCAACCCGAUGCAAACUGCGAAUACCGGAGAAUGUUAUCACGGGAGACACACGGCGGGUGCUAACGUCCGUCGUGAAGAG